RNAcentral lists this ribosomal RNA (464 nucleotides) under Vreelandella stevensii. RNAcentral's name for it is "partial 16S ribosomal RNA". It matches the Rfam family "Bacterial small subunit ribosomal RNA", at positions 338 to 794 of the family's 1533-position model. The record is from RNAcentral. Lineage: Bacteria; Pseudomonadati; Pseudomonadota; Gammaproteobacteria; Oceanospirillales; Halomonadaceae.
CCUACGGGAGGCUGCAGUGGGGAAUAUUGGACAAUGGGCGAAAGCCUGAUCCAGCCAUGCCGCGUGUGUGAAGAAGGCCUUCGGGUUGUAAAGCACUUUCAGUGGGGAAGAAAGCCUUGGGGCUAAUACCCUCGAGGAAGGACAUCACCCACAGAAGAAGCACCGGCUAACUCCGUGCCAGCAGCCGCGGUAAUACGGAGGGUGCGAGCGUUAAUCGGAAUUACUGGGCGUAAAGCGCGCGUAGGCGGUCUGAUAAGCCGGUUGUGAAAGCCCCGGGCUCAACCUGGGAACGGCAUCCGGAACUGUCAGGCUAGAGUGCAGGAGAGGAAGGUAGAAUUCCCGGUGUAGCGGUGAAAUGCGUAGAGAUCGGGAGGAAUACCAGUGGCGAAGGCGGCCUUCUGGACUGACACUGACGCUGAGGUGCGAAAGCGUGGGUAGCAAACAGGAUUAGAUACCCCGGUAGU